Molecule: transfer RNA, 72 nt
Filed under: Camelus bactrianus (Bactrian camel)
Lineage: Eukaryota; Metazoa; Chordata; Mammalia; Artiodactyla; Camelidae
Also listed under: 2 other names
Rfam family: tRNA
About the family: Transfer RNA (tRNA) molecules are approximately 80 nucleotides in length. Their secondary structure includes four short double-helical elements and three loops (D, anti-codon, and T loops). Further hydrogen bonds mediate the characteristic L-shaped molecular structure. tRNAs have two regions of fundamental functional importance: the anti-codon, which is responsible for specific mRNA codon recognition, and the 3' end, to which the tRNAs corresponding amino acid is attached (by aminoacyl-tRNA synthetases). tRNAs cope with the degeneracy of the genetic code in two manners: having more than one tRNA (with a specific anti-codon) for a particular amino acid; and 'wobble' base-pairing, i.e. permitting non-standard base-pairing at the 3rd anti-codon position.
Source: Rfam by way of RNAcentral
GAGGGUGCAGCUCAGUGGUAGAGUGCGUGCUCAUCACGCAGGAGGGCCUGGAUUCAAUCCCCAGCACCUUCA